Molecule: ribosomal RNA, 253 nt
Filed under: uncultured bacterium
Lineage: Bacteria
Description: partial 16S ribosomal RNA
Rfam family: Bacterial small subunit ribosomal RNA
Source: RNAcentral
UACGUAGGGAGCAAGCGUUGUCCGGAAUCAUUGGGCGUAAAGCGCGCGUAGGUGGCCUCAUAAGUCCGCUGUGAAAGUCAAAGGCUCAACCUUUGAAAGCCGGUGGAUACUGUGGGGCUAGAGUACGGAAGAGGCGAGUGGAAUUCCUGGUGUAGCGGUGGAAUGCGCAGAUAUCAGGAGGAACACCGGUGGCGAAGGCGGCUUGCUGGGCCAGUUCUGACGCUGAGGAGCGAAAGCGUGGGGAGCGAACAGG